UUGUGGUGACACAAGAAUGGAUAGCGAGAAGUCAGCAGAGGUCAUAGUAGUUAAUGAAAAUUAAUGAAGGAC
Molecule: non-coding RNA, 72 nt
Filed under: marine eukaryotic metagenome
Source: RNAcentral